AGUGAACGCUGGCGGUAGGCCUAACACAUGCAGGUCGAACGGCAGCACAGUAAGAGCUUGCUCUUACGGGUGGCGAGUGGCGGACGGGUGAGGAAUACAUCGGAAUCUACUUUUUCGUGGGGGAUAACGUAGGGAAACUUACGCUAAUACCGCAUACGACCUACGGGUGAAAGCAGGGGAUCUUCGGACCUUGCGCGAUUGAAUGAGCCGAUGUCGGAUUAGCUAGUUGGCGGGGUAAAGGCCCACCAAGGCGACGAUCCGUAGCUGGUCUGAGAGGAUGACCAGCCACACUGGAACUGAGACACGGUCCAGACUCCUACGGGAGGCAGCAGUGGGGAAUAUUGGACAAUGGGCGCAAGCCUGAUCCAGCCAUACCGCGUGGGUGAAGAAGGCCUUCGGGUUGUAAAGCCCUUUUGUUGGGAAAGAAAAGCAGCAGGUUAAUACCCCGCUGUUCUGACGGUACCCAAAGAAUAAGCACCGGCUAACUUCGUG
This 492-nucleotide ribosomal RNA is filed under the name uncultured bacterium. RNAcentral describes it as "partial 16S ribosomal RNA". It matches the Rfam family "Bacterial small subunit ribosomal RNA", at positions 29 to 507 of the family's 1533-position model. The record is from RNAcentral.